Molecule: ribosomal RNA, 491 nt
Filed under: uncultured bacterium
Lineage: Bacteria
Description: partial 16S ribosomal RNA
Rfam family: Bacterial small subunit ribosomal RNA
Source: RNAcentral
AGUGAACGCUGGCGGUAGGCCUAACACAUGCAAGUCGAACGGCAGCACAGUAAGAGCUUGCUCUUACGGGUGGCGAGUGGCGGACGGGUGAGGAAUACAUCGGAAUCUACUUUUUCGUGGGGGAUAACGUAGGGAAACUUACGCUAAUACCGCAUACGACCUACGGGUGAAAGCAGGGGAUCUUCGCACCUUGCGCGAUUGAAUGAGCCGAUGUCGGAUUAGCUAGUUGGCGGGGUAAAGGCCCACCAAGGCGACGAUCCGUAGCUGGUCUGAGAGGAUGAUCAGCAACAGUGGAGAUGAGACACGGUACAGACUCCGACGUGAGGCAGCAGUGGGGAAUAUUGGACAAUGGGCGGAAGCCUGAACCAGCCAUACCGCGUGGGUGAAGAAGGCCUUCGGGUUGUAAAGCCCUUUUGUUGGGAAAGAAAAGCAGCAGGUUAAUACCCCGCUGAUCUAACGGUACCCAAAGAAUAGGCACCGGCUAAUUUGGU